AUUGAACGCUGGCGGCAUGCCUUACACAUGCAAGUCGAACGGCAGCACGGACUUCGGUCUGGUGGCGAGUGGCGAACGGGUGAGUAAUGCAUCGGAACGUGCCAUUGAGUGGGGGAUAACGUAGCGAAAGUUGCGCUAAUACCGCAUAUUCUGUGAGCAGGAAAGCAGGGGACCGCAAGGCCUUGCGCUCUUUGAGCGGCCGAUGUCAGAUUAGCUAGUUGGUGAGGUAAGGCUUACCAAGGCGACGAUCUGUAGCGGGUCUGAGAGGAUGAUCCGCCACACUGGAACUGAGACACGGUCCAGACUCCUACGGGAGGCAGCAGUGGGGAAUUUUGGACAAUGGGGCAACCCUGAUCCAGCCAUACCGCGUGAGUGAAGAAGGCCUCGGUUGUAAG
Molecule: ribosomal RNA, 395 nt
Filed under: uncultured bacterium
Lineage: Bacteria
Description: bacterial SSU rRNA
Rfam family: Bacterial small subunit ribosomal RNA
Source: RNAcentral